This 921-nucleotide long non-coding RNA is filed under the name Chrysemys picta bellii (western painted turtle). RNAcentral's name for it is "lncRNA (ENSCPBG00000021592.1)". Lineage: Eukaryota; Metazoa; Chordata; Testudines; Emydidae. The record is from RNAcentral.
AUCCCCUGGCACUUUUGAAAGACCUGGGCAGCUAUCUGUGGUGUCUUGGCCAGAUUUCAGUUGGCUUAAAGAUUUUCCAUUGACCUAAAUUCCCUCUGCAUUGUGUCAGUGGCCCCGGGGCUGGGUGUUUUUUGCUAUACAGAGUUGUUGACAAUCAGUUAGCAAAGUCUGUAAAGCGAUUUGGGACAUGUUUGGAUGAGAGGUGCCGUAGAAACACAAGAGCAUUAAGGGCUCUAAGGUGCAUCCACACCAGGCUUUUACAACCUGGCACUGUGGUAAAUGCCUAGUGUGGACAAGGCUGCCCCUAGUGUUUACCUGAUACUACAUGAAAACUGCAAACUGCCCCGUCUUCACUAGGACUUUACCGUGUGUUCACUAAUGUGGUAACAUCCCCCUUUUUUUCCUAGUGAAGACAAGGCCUACACGGCCUGGACUCCUCCUCUGCCCCCAGGCCGUGCUGCUGCAGAUGGGAUCAGUGGAGGUUCCCAAGAGAGACCCCCCUGCCACACACAGUGAAAAGAACGUCCUUAGGAAAGCAAUUGUGCUCCAUCAGCUAACCUGUCUCCUAUGCCUAGAGGUCUUAAAUCAUCAUUCACCUGCCAGCCAGGCAUCACACCGUCAGGUGCUUUGUGAAGAAAACAGUCGAUACGGAGUCCAAGACACAGGUCUGCUGCUGGGAGCUGCCAGAGCCCAUUGCGUUCAGUGCCAGCCUAUACAGAUUCCUGCUGGAGCCACAAGAGGGCACGAUGUCACACUCUUCAUAGUAAUAUCUAGAGCUGGUUGAAAUUUCCUGGAUUUUGAGUUUUUGAUUCCCCCUUCCCCCAACAUUUUGAUUUAGCACCCCACCCCCACCUCAGGAAUUUUCACUGCAAAUCAGGAUUCCAGCCAGCAAUUGAACAGGUCAAACUUUUUCAUCAACUA